CUGGGGGCGGGGGAUGGUGGCAGGUGUCAGCCCUGCGGGGGGGCCCAUUUCCCAGCCCCCCUGCCCUGUAGCGCGGGGCCAGGCUGCUCCCCGCCUGUGUCCCUAGCUGGGGGGGGGCCUGGAUCGGGUCCAACCCCCCCAUUUCCCCAGGCCCCAUUGCGGGGGAAAGAAACUUUUCAAGUGUCUUUAAAAAUCCCAGCGACUCCUGGCUCCCUCCUGCCGAGCCGGCCCCCCCCGCCCACCCCCAGGCGAACGCAGACAUCGGGGAGGGGGGAGAGGGCUGGAGCCAACUCAGCUCCCCCCUCCCCGCUGGGCCCCUCGGGAGGGGAAAGGCUGAAGCCGGUUUCUGGAUCCCUGCGGGCCCUUCCCCCUGCUGAGCCGCUUAGUCAGGCCGGCUCCCAUUCCUCGGCUGCUUGAGAUUCCCCGUAUUCCUGCCCUGGGGCGCUGCCCUCGGGGAUGGGGCGUCGUGGGGCGUAAAGAUCCUGCCGGAGUCUGGGUGGGCCAGAGGCAGCAGAACAGACUUGGGGGGUUGGAGCUGGACAUUUCUCCUAGUGGGGUUAGUUGCCCCUGGCCCGGCGCUGAUCCACCCCCCGCCCAGGAGCGGGCCACGUUCUAGUGGCGGUUUGGUCUGGGUUUGGGCGGGGAACUAGGGGACAGUGGAUGGUGCUGGAAGGACCCACCCAAAGUGCGGCUUGAGCCUGCUGGGGAAGGCGGGUUGGGCCACGUCCCCGCCGGGAAGAUGAACCUCGUUCUGGGGCCGUACGGCGAGGGCGCGGAGACGCUGCUUCACGGGGAGUUUGGGGCUUACCCCUCCAAGGGGUCCCGCUACGCCCUCAGCCUGACCCGGACGGCGCUGCACAUCCAGCGGCUGGUGCCCAAGCCGGAGACGGACCAGCGCACCGUGGUGCCCCUGGCCGAGGUGGUGGGUUGCCACACGCUGCGUAGCCGGGCGCCGGCCGACCGGGCGGCGUAUUUCUCUGUCUACGCCUACCCGCUGAAGAAGAGGAAGGUGGCGGUGGGGUCGGGGCGCGGGCGGCAGAGGGCGGCGCGGACCUUCCAGGUGGAUGGGGCUGACGACUACGAGAAGAACCAAGCGGUGGCGGAGAAAUGGGCGGCUGCCAUCAAGUGCCUGGUGUUGGGCAUCCCCAUCUCCAGCGACACAGACAUCGCUCCCAGCCUCCUGCCGCGCCCACGCCGGCUGCUGCUGCUGCUGAACCCGUUUGGGGGCAGGGGCCUGGCCCUGCAGUGGUGCCAGACCCACGUGCUGCCCAUGAUCACGGAGGCCGACAUCAGCUUCAACUUGAUCCAGACGGAGAGGCCGAACCACGCCCGGGAGCUGGUGAAGGGCAUCAACCUGGCAGAAUGGGAUGGGAUCGUCGCCGUCUCGGGGGAUGGGCUCCUAUAUGAGGUUCUCAACGGGCUCAUGGAGCGCCCCGACUGGGAGCAGGCCAUCAAGAUGCCGAUUGGGAUUUUACCGAGUGGUUCGGGGAAUGCAUUGGCUGGAGCCAUCAACUGUAACGCCGGCAGGCUGGAGCAGGUGCUGGGUCUGGAGCUGCUGCUGAACUGCACCCUGCUGCUGUGCCACGCAGCCGUCACCCCCCUGGACCUGGUGGCCGUCACCACGGCCUCGGGCGCCCGCUGCUUCUCCUGCCUCAGCGUGGCCUGGGGCUUCGUCUCGGACGUGGACAUCGAGAGCGAGAAGUACCGGCACAUGGGCGCCGCCCGCUUCACGCUGGGCACCCUGGUGCGCCUGGCCUCCAUGCACACCUACCGCGGGCGCCUCGCCUACCUGCCCGCCGCCGACGCCCACCGGCCCAUCUCCCGCAGCAUCACCGUGGCCCCCAACGGCCGCCUGCCCCUGCAGCGCCUGCCUCUGCACCGCGCCCUGUCCGACAUGGGGCUGUGCGAGGAGCGUCACACCUUCCGGGGGGCCGAGCCGGCCCCCGCGCCCUGCCCCUCGCCCGGCUCCCCGCCCCCCUCCUCCGCCUCCGUCCUGCCCCCGCCCAGCUUCUCCUUCGAGCCCGGGCCGGGGGAGCUGCCGGCCGGCGGGGCGGGCGAGGCCCGGGUGGGCGGCCCCCCGGACGAGCUGCUGGUGCCGCUGGGGCAGCCGGUGCCCGGCUCCUGGGUGACGGUGGAGGACGACUUCGUGCUGGUGCUGGCCAUCUACCAGAGCCACCUGGGGGCCGACCUCUUCGCCGCCCCCUUCGCCCGCUUCGACGACGGGCUCAUCCACCUCUGCUUCAUCAAAGCCGGCAUCUCCCGCGCCGCCCUGGUCCGCCUCUUCCUGGCCAUGGAGAAGGGCAGCCACUUCGAGCAGGAGUGCCCCCACCUCGUCCACGUGCCCGUCCGGGCCUUCCGCCUGGAGCCCCUCACCCGCAAGGGCAUCCUGACUGUGGACGGCGAGCGGGUGGAAUACGGCCCCAUCCAGGGCCAGGUGCACCGGGGCCUCGCCAGACUGAUCACCGGCGUCGACCGCCUCAAGAUCGCCACCGGCUGACGCCCCCCGGCUGGGCGUGGGGGGGGGCCAGACCCCUCUCCAGCCGGCUUGGUGCGAGGGGUAGCAGGAAACGGCUGGCAGGGGCCGUGCCGCCCCCCCCCCUCCCGGCGGCAGCGGGGACUGACCGCCCAGCGCCUGCCUAAAGCUGCCUAUUUAUUGCUUUGAUCCUGGCAUCACCCACUGAAUGAAUGUAAGGCAGGGGCGUGACCCCUGGGGGAGGGGAGGGGAGGGGGGUCUCCCACCCUGUGGGGGUCACAGGAGGGAAAAGGCCCUUUUUCACCCUCCCCUCCCCAUCCCGCAUCCAGGGGGCGCUAGGGAGUCGCAACCGGGGCACGUUCCCACUGCCCGCCACGGAGGGGGAGGCUGUGGCCGCGGGGGCGGCCACCGGGCUGGUGCCUCCAGCCACGGGGGGGAGUGGGAGGGGCUGGCAGGUGUCCCAGCAGGUGCUGCAGUACCUGUGCCCCCCCCGGUGUGCAGCCUGGUGUCUCCCCCUGGGGGCUGGAGGUGGGGCUGCAGGCGAGAUGCUCCCAUUACAUGCGGGGGAGGGGGCGUGGCUUUGCGGACCAGUUGCUGAUCUCUGUGGUGCGGUCAUGCUGGCUGGCUGCCCCUGCUCUAACCACUCGCGCCCCCCUCCCCCCUGAGCCAGGCUAGAACCCAGGAGUCCUGGCUCCCAGUCUCCACCUCACCCCCGCUCUAAUCACUAGACCCCCCUCCCCUAUAUGAGCAGCAGGUACAAUUUUUGGAGGGGAGGGGGGUCUACUGGGGGGUGGGAGCCAGGACUCCUGGGGUCUUUUCCUGACUCUGGGAGGGGAGGGGAGCCUAGGGGGUGGGCAGGUACGUGCCUCAGUUUCCCUCUAUCCCAGACACUGGCAGGCUGGCCCCCCUCCGCUGGCCAGGUGCCAGGUGCACCAGAGCCUGGCGGGAAGGGGCAGGGCCCAGCAAAGGCCGCACGCUGGAGCUUUCUUUGCACUAAAACCUCUGUGCUCUGUGAGGGGGGAGGCCUGGUGGGCUGUGGGGGGAGGGGGGAAGAGAUGACAAUGUCUGUCUGUCCUGUGUGUCCUACUAGUUGCUGCUGCUAACAGCGCCCCCCCCCCCCCCCAGUAACUUUGAUGUGAGCAAGAAACUAGAAUGAGCUGAAAUUGAUCAGCCCCAUGGGCCCAUCUACCCUGGUGUCCCCCUGGCCCUGGCCAGAUCAGCCCCAUGGGCCCAUCUACCUGGUAUCCCCCCUGCCCUGUCCGUCCAGGGCCAGAUCAGCCCCAUGGGCCCAUCUAUCCCAGUAUCUGACCUUUUUCCCCCAUCAGCUCCGUGAACCCCUUUCCCCUGCUGUCCAGCAAGGCAGUGGGAGGAGCAGCUCUGACUUCCCCUACAAUGCAGUGGGAGGCAAUUUCUCCCCCUGCCCCCCAGGUGCCUUGCUGGGGGGGGGUGUACUGGCAUCAGGCCCUGUGUGUUAACCCUGCGUGUGCCAUGGCUGCCCUCGCUGUUCCCACGUCUUGUCCCUGUCGAAGUGAUUUAGACCUAUGCAAUAAAGCAAGAGCAUGAGGCCUC
Molecule: RNA transcript, 4042 nt
Organism: Mauremys reevesii (Reeves's turtle)
Lineage: Eukaryota; Metazoa; Chordata; Testudines; Geoemydidae
Gene: SPHK2
Gene name: sphingosine kinase 2
Exons: 6
Source: RefSeq, a predicted model, not a curated record